RNAcentral lists this ribosomal RNA (48 nucleotides) under Vibrio cholerae. RNAcentral describes it as "partial 23S ribosomal RNA". The record is from RNAcentral. Lineage: Bacteria; Pseudomonadati; Pseudomonadota; Gammaproteobacteria; Vibrionales; Vibrionaceae.
GCGCUAGGAAGUGGUGGUGCUGGUGGGAUAUUCCCUGGCAGUGGUGGC